Molecule: ribosomal RNA, 492 nt
Filed under: uncultured bacterium
Lineage: Bacteria
Description: partial 16S ribosomal RNA
Rfam family: Bacterial small subunit ribosomal RNA
Source: RNAcentral
AGUGAACGCUGGCGGUAGGCCUAACACAUGCAAGUCGAACGGCAGCACAGUAAGAGCUUGCUCUUACGGGUGGCGAGUGGCGGACGGGUGAGGAAUACAUCGGAAUCUACUUUUUCGUGGGGGAUAACGUAGGGAAACUUACGCUAAUACCGCAUACGACCUACGGGUGAAAGCAGUGGAUCUUCGGACCUUGCGCGAUUGAAUUAGCCGAUGUCGGAUUAGCUAGUUGGCGGGGUAAAGGCCCACCAAGGCGACGAUCCGUAGCUGGUCUGAGAGGAUGAUCAGCCACACUGGAACUGAGACACGGUCCAGACUCCUACGGGAGGCAGCAGUGGGGAAUCUUGGACAAUGGGCGAAAGCCUGACCCAGCCAUACCGCGUGAGUGAAGAAGGCCUUCGGGUUGUAAAGCCCUUUUGUUGGGAAAGAAAAGCAGCAGGUUAAUACCCCGCUGUUCUGACGGUACCCAAAGAAUAAGCACCGGCUAACUUCGUG